GUGCUCACUUAGGCAGCACAUAUACUAAAACUAGAAUGAUACAGAGAAGAUUAGCCUGGCCCCUGUGCAAGGAUGACGCACAAAUGCGUGAAGUGUUCCAGAACUAU
Molecule: small nuclear RNA, 107 nt
Organism: Callithrix jacchus (white-tufted-ear marmoset)
Lineage: Eukaryota; Metazoa; Chordata; Mammalia; Primates; Cebidae
Source: Ensembl